UGUUGAGUUCCCGGUAAUCGAUGCACAUGCGAAAAGAUCCAUCCUUCUUCUUUACGAACAAGACUGGUGCUCCCCAAGGUGAGAAGCUCGGCCUGAUGAACCCUUUGUUGAGUAGUUCAUUUAGUUGGCUGGAUAGUUUAGUUCCUGCUUCUCUGCCGGUGCUAGACGGUAUGGCGACUUGGCUACUGGUGUAGUUCCGGGAAUUAAGUCGAUUCUGAACUCGACUUGACGUUUUGGUGGAACUCUGGGAAGAUCUUUAGGGAAGACAUCGGGAAAAUUACAGACUUCUGGAAUGUCUCUGAUGCCUUUUGUUUCUUUUUCCUUAUCUACCAUGUGGGCUAAGAAGGCAUGGUACUCUUUACGUAGGUAUUUUUGGGCUUUGACGCAAGAGANCUUUACGUAGGUAUUUCUGGGCUUUGACGCAAGAGAUGAUUUGUAAAUUGGUACUGGGUUUGUCACCAUAAAU
This 466-nucleotide long non-coding RNA is filed under the name Lactuca sativa (garden lettuce). Its description in RNAcentral is "long non-coding RNA (LSAT_LNC002769)". The record is from RNAcentral. Lineage: Eukaryota; Viridiplantae; Streptophyta; Magnoliopsida; Asterales; Asteraceae.